RNAcentral lists this ribosomal RNA (405 nucleotides) under uncultured bacterium. RNAcentral describes it as "bacterial SSU rRNA". It matches the Rfam family "Bacterial small subunit ribosomal RNA", at positions 355 to 776 of the family's 1533-position model. The record is from RNAcentral.
UUGGGAAUUUUGCACAAUGGAGGCAACUCUGAUGCAGCAACACUGCGUGAAGGAUGAAGGUUUUCGGAUUGUAAACUUCUUUUAUCUGGGAAUAAUCUUGAAGGUACCAGAUGAAUAAGCACCGGCUAACUACGUGCCAGCAGCCGCGGUAAUACGUAGGGUGCAAACAUUAUCCGGAUUUAUUGGGCGUAAAGAGCUCGUAGGUGGUUUUGCAAGUAGGAUAUUAAAUCUCCCGGCUCAACUGGGAAGCUGUAUCCUAAACUGCUUAACUUGAGGUAUGUAGGGGCAGAUGGAACUUACGGUGUAGCGGUAAAAUGCGUAGAUAUCGUAAGGAACGCCGAUGGUGAAGACGAUCUGCUGGACAUCACCUGACACUGAGGAGCGAAAGCGUGGGUAGCGAUCGGG